This 63-nucleotide transfer RNA is filed under the name Typhlatya sp. JR2016. Its description in RNAcentral is "tRNA-Arg". The record is from RNAcentral. Lineage: Eukaryota; Metazoa; Arthropoda; Malacostraca; Decapoda; Atyidae.
GAUUAGAAAGCGAAGUUUUGCAUUUAGUUUCGGCCUAAACUCUGGUGGUUUCACCUCUAAUUU